Molecule: long non-coding RNA, 213 nt
Filed under: Elaeis guineensis (African oil palm)
Lineage: Eukaryota; Viridiplantae; Streptophyta; Magnoliopsida; Arecales; Arecaceae
Description: long non-coding RNA (EGUI_LNC008295)
Source: RNAcentral
GGAUAAAGAUCUCUUUUAUGUGUGACCCCAUCGAUUUUAUUUUUUCUGGUAGUGAGAUAUACUGUGAUUCCCAUCACAAUAUCAUCGAAACUCCUUUCGAUGGAUUGGAAUGAUUCCAACUUUGCUCAUCAAGAGUCAUCGAUCAUCAAGAUAAUGCUCGACAAGUCUUACAAUCCACCAAUGACAUCUAACAGUAUGUAGUGGUAAUCCAGC